Molecule: ribosomal RNA, 450 nt
Filed under: uncultured bacterium
Lineage: Bacteria
Description: partial 16S ribosomal RNA
Rfam family: Bacterial small subunit ribosomal RNA
Source: RNAcentral
GAUGAACGCUGGCGGCGUGCCUAACACAUGCAAGUCGAGCGGCAGCGAGGGGUGCUUGCACCCUGUCGGCGAGCGGCGGACGGCUGAGUAACGCGUGGGAACGUGCCCCAAAGUGAGGAAUAACUGCCCGAAAGGGUAGCUAAUACCGCAUAUUAUCUUCGGAUCAAAGGAUUUAUCCGCUUUGGGAGCGGCUCGCGUCGGAUAGGUAGUUGGUGAGGUAAUGGCUCACCAAGCCGACGAUCCGUAGCUGGUCUGAGAGGAUGACCAGCCAGACUGGAACUGAGACACGGUCCAGACUCCUACGGGAGGCAGCAGUGAGGAAUCUUCCACAAUGGGCGAAAGCCUGAUGGAGCAACGCCGCGUGCAGGACGAAGGCCUUCGGGUUGUAAACUGCUUUUAUAAGUGAGGAAUAUGACGGUAACUUAUGAAUAAGGAUCGGCUAACUACGUG